Molecule: ribosomal RNA, 427 nt
Filed under: uncultured bacterium
Lineage: Bacteria
Description: partial 16S ribosomal RNA
Rfam family: Bacterial small subunit ribosomal RNA
Source: RNAcentral
GUGGGGAAUAUUGGGCAAUGGGCGCAAGCCUGACCCAGCAACGCCGCGUGAGGGAAGAAGGUUUUCGGAUUGUAAACCUCUGUCGCAAGGGACGAAGAAGUGACGGUACCUUGUGAGGAAGCCCCGGCUAACUACGUGCCAGCAGCCGCGGUAAUACGUAGGGGGCGAGCGUUGUCCGGAAUUACUGGGCGUAAAGGGUGCGUAGGCGGCUAAUUAAGUUGGAUGUGAAAUACCCGGGCUUAACUUGGGGGGUGCAUUCAAAACUGGUUAGCUAGAGUUCAGGAGAGGGAAGCGGAAUUCCUAGUGUAGCGGUGAAAUGCGUAGAUAUUAGGAGGAACACCAGUGGCGAAGGCGGCUUUCUGGACUGACACUGACGCUGAUGCACGAAAGCGUGGGGAGCAAACAGGAUUAGAUACCCCAGUAGUCC